Molecule: ribosomal RNA, 1960 nt
Filed under: Streptococcus pneumoniae
Lineage: Bacteria; Bacillati; Bacillota; Bacilli; Lactobacillales; Streptococcaceae
Description: partial 23S ribosomal RNA
Rfam family: Bacterial large subunit ribosomal RNA
Source: RNAcentral
GGUUAAGUUAAUAAGGGCGCACGGUGGAUGCCUUGGCACUAGGAGCCGACGAAGGACGUGACAAACGACGAUAUGCCUUGGGUAGCUGUAAGUAAGCGAUGAUCCAGGGAUUUCCGAAUGGGGGAACCCAACAGGUAGCACCUGUUACCCACAUCUGUUAAGGAUGUGAGGAGGAAGACGCAGUGAACUGAAACAUCUAAGUAGCUGCAGGAAGAGAAAGCAAAAGCGAUUGCCUUAGUAGCGGCGAGCGAAACGGCAGAAGGGCAAACCGAAGAGUUUACUCUUCGGGGUUGUAGGACUGCAAUGUGGACUCAAAGAUUAUAGAAGAAUGAUUUGGGAAGAUCAGCCAAAGAGAGUAAUAGCCUCGUAUUUAAAAUAGUCUUUGUACCUAGCAGUAUCCUGAGUACGGCGGGACACGUGAAAUCCCGUCGGAAUCUGGGAGGACCAUCUCCCAACCCUAAAUACUCCCUAGUGACCGAUAGUGAACCAGUACCGUGAGGGAAAGGUGAAAAGCACCCCGGGAGGGGAGUGAAAUAGAACCUGAAACCGUGUGCCUACAACAAGUUCGAGCCCGUUAAUGGGUGAGAGCGUGCCUUUUGUAGAAUGAACCGGCGAGUUACGUUAUGAUGCGAGGUUAAGUUGAAGAGACGGAGCCGUAGGGAAACCGAGUCUGAAUAGGGCGCCUUAGUAUCAUGACGUAGACCCGAAACCAUGUGACCUACCCAUGAGCAGGUUGAAGGUGCGGUAAGACGCACUGGAGGACCGAACCAGGGCACGUUGAAAAGUGCUUGGAUGACUUGUGGGUAGCGGAGAAAUUCCAAACGAACUUGGAGAUAGCUGGUUCUCUCCGAAAUAGCUUUAGGGCUAGCGUCGACAUUAGAGAUUCUUGGAGGUAGAGCACUGUUUGGGUGAGGGGUCCAUCCCGGAUUACCAAUCUCAGAUAAACUCCGAAUGCCAAUGAAUUAUGGUCGGCAGUCAGACUGCGAGUGCUAAGAUCCGUAGUCGAAAGGGAAACAGCCCAGACCACCAGCUAAGGUCCCAAAAUAAUUGUUAAGUGGAAAAGGAUGUGGGGUUGCACAGACAACUAGGAUGUUAGCUUAGAAGCAGCUAUUCAUUCAAAGAGUGCGUAAUAGCUCACUAGUCGAGUGACCCUGCGCCGAAAAUGUACCGGGGCUAAAACAAUUUACCGAAGCUGUGGAUACCUUUAUAGGUAUGGUAGGAGAGCGUUCUAUGUGUGAUGAAGGUAUACCGUGAGGAGUGCUGGAACGCAUAGAAGUGAGAAUGCCGGUAUGAGUAGCGAAAGACAGGUGAGAAUCCUGUCCACCGUAAGACUAAGGUUUCCAGGGGAAGGCUCGUCCGCCCUGGGUUAGUCGGGACCUAAGGAGAGACCGAAAGGUGUAUCCGAUGGACAACAGGUUGAUAUUCCUGUACUAGAGUAUGUAGUGAUGGAGGGACGCAGUAGGCUAACUAAAGCAGACGAUUGGAAGAGUCUGUCUAAGCAGUGAGGUGUGAAUUGAGUCAAAUGCUUAAUUCUAUAACAUUGAGCUGUGAUGGGGAGCGAAGUUUAGUAGCGAAGUUAGUGACGUCACACUGCCAAGAAAAGCUUCUAGCGUUUAAACAUACUCUACCCGUACCGCAAACCGACACAGGUAGUCGAGGCGAGUAGCCUCAGGUGAGCGAGAGAACUCUCGUUAAGGAACUCGGCAAAAUGACCCCGUAACUUCGGGAGAAGGGGUGCUGACUUUAAGUCAGCCGCAGUGAAUAGGCCCAAGCAACUGUUUAUCAAAAACACAGCUCUCUGCUAAAUCGUAAGAUGAUGUAUAGGGGGUGACGCCUGCCCGGUGCUGGAAGGUUAAGAGGAGUGCUUAGCGUAAGCGAAGGUAUGAAUUGAAGCCCCAGUAAACGGCGGCCGUAACUAUAACGGUCCUAAGGUAGCGAAAUUCCUUGUCGGGUAAGUUCC